GAGUUUGAUCUUGGCUCAGAUUGAACGCUGGCGGCAUGCCUUACACAUGCAAGUCGAACGGCAGCACGGGAGCUUGCUCCUGGUGGCGAGUGGCGAACGGGUGAGUAAUGCAUCGGAACGUAUCCUGGAGUGGGGGAUAACGUAGCGAAAGUUACGCUAAUACCGCAUAUUCUGUGAGCAGGAAAGCGGGGGACCUUCGGGCCUCGCGCUCUUGGAGCGGCCGAUGUCGGAUUAGCUAGUUGGUGAGGUAAAGGCUCACCAAGGCGACGAUCCGUAGCAGGUCUGAGAGGAUGAUCUGCCACACUGGAACUGAGACACGGUCCAGACUCCUACGGGAGGCAGCAGUGGGGAAUUUUGGACAAUGGGGGCAACCCUCGAUCCAGCCAUGCCGCGUGAGUGAGAAGGCUCGGUGUAG
This 415-nucleotide ribosomal RNA is filed under the name bacterium enrichment culture clone ALO1_GLFRUDD03GKN00. RNAcentral describes it as "bacterial SSU rRNA". It matches the Rfam family "Bacterial small subunit ribosomal RNA", at positions 9 to 423 of the family's 1533-position model. The record is from RNAcentral.